AGAGGAUUUUCAAAGAUGGCGGAGAAAUGUAGGAGAGUAAUGUGAACAUGUCACUAUACUAAAAUGGAUACUCGAUCGUUCUUUAGCUCUGCUGGAAAGGCAGCGAAACAAGGCGCUUCGAAAGUAGAAAAUAAGCGCGGCAAAGAUUCUACUGCGAAGUCAUUAUCGAAACAUGAUGUAGGAAAGAGCCGAACGAAAAGCAAGAGUUUAUCAAGCAGUGAAGAUGAUGACAUUGCCUGAAAACAAAAACCAAAAGAAAAUCAGAAGAGGAAGAAGAAAGGAAAAAACAUUAUUGACUCAGAUUCUGAUGAAGAUCCUCUUCCUCCAAAAAUCAGUUAUGUGAUUUGUUUCUUGAAUUUUGUUCCCUUUCAUACAGCUGUAGUUAAUCCUUUAACUCCCAGAAGUGAUUAACAUGAAACCUCUCCUUAUGAUGUCUACACAUUAUUCAGCAAACAGAAAAGCCACAUCAGUAAAGAAGGAGGAGAGUUCAAAAGCUAUGAAAAGUAGAAUAUUGACCAAUCAGCUUGGACUCAGGUAAGGAAAUUAUGUCUAAUUAUUGAGGGUACCCUAUACUUUUUACAAGAAGGGUGAUUGGGAGAUUUUGUUUUCAGGGGAAUCAUGAUUUCAAUUUUUUUUUUCAUGAAUUUUGAUUAAAGAUGACAUAAUCCUUCCAUUUCCAUCUGAACAGUUUUUUCUUUAUUUAAACGCGACCCAUGAAUGAAGAAUUAUAUGAAUUAAAUGUGAUUGACAAACCAUUUUGUUUCCCUGAUGAAUUUCGGGUUAUUUGAAAGAGCCAAACUUGUAGGAUUAAC
This is a non-coding RNA of Pocillopora verrucosa, 812 nucleotides long. NCBI's taxonomy places the organism in Eukaryota, Metazoa, Cnidaria, Anthozoa, Scleractinia, Pocilloporidae. The record is from RefSeq and is a predicted model, not a curated record.